GAUACCUGGCUUGUUGCAGCCAGGCAUUCACAGCAACCUCGCUGGUCCUUUGAUGUCGGUGCCAAACGUGGGGCUGUUCACCCACUAGUAGGGAACGUGAGCUCAGAUUAGACUGGCAUGAGUCAGGUU
RNAcentral lists this non-coding RNA (129 nucleotides) under Lepisosteus oculatus (spotted gar). Its description in RNAcentral is "Eukaryotic large subunit ribosomal RNA". It matches the Rfam family "Eukaryotic large subunit ribosomal RNA", at positions 2825 to 2984 of the family's 3401-position model. Lineage: Eukaryota; Metazoa; Chordata; Actinopteri; Semionotiformes; Lepisosteidae. The record is from Rfam by way of RNAcentral.